UUUGUGUGCAUGUGCUAUGCAUGCUAGAAAUGAAAACAGGGAAUGCAGCUGGCAGCAUCAACGAGUACAAUGCCCAUAGGCUAUUAUGAGGUGCGAAAUGUUGCCACUGCUAGAAUUUACAUUAUGUGUGCAUGGUACAGCUGAUUGUGUAAUUUAGCACUUUCCAGCUACUUACGCAGUUGGAGCAGAUGUCGAUCAUGUUUAUUGUGGUAUGGCACGGCCACCAAGUUCGUGCAUUCUGCAUACCAGGAAACCUGACACGAAGCAACGUAUUGCUGUGAUGGCAGCUAAGUGAGAACGAAUGAGUUUGUCUUCUCUGUACAUUUGUCAAUAUCAUUACACAGGCUUGUUAAGUGCAUUCAAGCGGCUUUAGCAAUGCACUUGCAGCUACAGAGCCAGUAAAGGCAGCCAAUUUCAUCAUCAGAGUUCACUCUGCAAAUCCCACUUUCCAUAAAGGGCAUUGUUUUGUGAUAGCUUAAGGUCAAAACUUGCUCAAUUAAACACUUCUUGGUGUCUGACAUUACAUGAAUUAUGAUAAUUGUUAUAUCUCAUGUGAAAUUAUGCCAUUGUUUUUUUUUCAUAUUCUUACUUUGCAUACACACUUUACGACUGCACCCUCCCCAACCGAAUCUUUACUAGUGCUACAUUCUGUUAUGGGUGAAAACAAUUAUUGAACUAAAAACCAGGCCAAGGAAAGCAGUAUGAUGCCCUGUAAUGUAGGAGGAUGCCGCUAUUGCAGUGUUUAGUCUAGAGCUGAAUUUAAUAAGAAAGGGCAGCAAUGUAGGUCAUCUGUGGAUAUUUGCAGACCAUAAUUGUGUUGUGGUCAUUUUGUUAUCGCAGGAAGCAUCUUCAAAAAGCAGUGCUACAAGGAUGUGAGCAGCAGUUUCCCUUUAACGAACGGGUCAAAUUCAUGGAAGCCACGUGCCUGCUGCUUCUGGCCUACACAAACAUGCAGCCACCAUAGUAAAGUUCUUGCAAAGACAUUCUACACGAACUUGCCCAAAGGCGGAAGGAAGGCACGCACAGAUGGACGCACAGAAAUCAUGGGGCUGCCGUAGAAGCUGUGAAUGAGCAUUAACCUACGUACAGAAAGGAGCGAAGUGGAGCUGUCCAUGGGCCGUGCACACAAUUUCAUAAGCAGGCUUGCAACACUUUUGACAAAUAUGUUCCUGAAUACAUCUGCCAAAGUGGCAUUUAAAGAAGCA
This is a long non-coding RNA of Rhipicephalus sanguineus (brown dog tick), 1205 nucleotides long. RefSeq lists it as uncharacterized. The record is from RefSeq and is a predicted model, not a curated record. Lineage: Eukaryota; Metazoa; Arthropoda; Arachnida; Ixodida; Ixodidae. The transcript has 3 exons.